This 334-nucleotide unclassified non-coding RNA is filed under the name soil metagenome. RNAcentral's name for it is "partial contains 5.8S ribosomal RNA, internal transcribed spacer 2, and large subunit ribosomal RNA". The stretch from base 1 to 120 matches the Rfam family "5.8S ribosomal RNA", at positions 35 to 154 of the family's 154-position model. The record is from RNAcentral.
GAUGAAGAACGCAGCGAAAUGCGAUACGUAAUGUGAAUUGCAGAAUUCAGUGAAUCAUCGAAUCUUUGAACGCACAUUGCGCCCGCCAGCACUCUCGCGGGCAUGCCUGUUCGAGCGUCAUUUCAACCAUCAAGCCCCAGGCUUGCGUUGGAGCCCUGCGGCUGCCGCAGCCUCCUAAAAGCAGUGGCGGGCUCGCUAUCACACCGAGUGCAGUAGAUUACUCUUCGCUCAGGGCGUGCAGCGGGUUCCGGCCGUGAAACCCCCUACUUUUAAAGGUUGACCUCGGAUCAGGUAGGAAUACCCGCUGAACUUAAGCAUAUCAAUAAGCGGAGGA